UACCGGUACUAAUAGCUCGAUCGGCUUGAUCGUUCUCAUUGACAAUGCUCAUCAAAAUGAGCCUGACCCUUACCGGUCAAGACGUGUUCAAAAAAACGAAGUGAAAACUUCUCCAGCUUCUCAAAUCGUUGCGCUUCGCUGACCUGGUGGUUAUGGCGGGGUGGCUGCACCCGUUCCCUUUCCGAACACGGCCGUGAAACGCCCCAGCGCCUAUGGUACUUCGUCUCAAGACGCGGGAGAGUCGGUCGCCGCCAGGU
This 257-nucleotide ribosomal RNA is filed under the name Rhizobium azibense. Lineage: Bacteria; Pseudomonadati; Pseudomonadota; Alphaproteobacteria; Hyphomicrobiales; Rhizobiaceae. The record is from RNAcentral.